UAGCUAGUUGGUGAGGUAAAGGCUUACCAAGGCGACGAUCUGUAGCGGGUCUGAGAGGACGAUCCGCCACACUGGAACUGAGACACGGUCCAGACUCCUACGGGAGGCAGCAGUGGGGAAUUUUGGACAAUGGGGGCAACCCUGAUCCAGCCAUGCCGCGUGAGUGAAGAAGGCCUUCGGGUUGUAAAGCUCUUUCGGCCGGGAAGAAAUCGCAUGGGCCAAUACCCUGUGUGGAUGACGGUACCGGAAUAAGAAGCACCGGCUAACUACGUGCCAGCAGCCGCGGUAAUACGUAGGGUGCGAGCGUUAAUCGGAAUUACUGGGCGUAAAGCGUGCGCAGGCGGUUUUGUAAGACAGGCGUGAAAUCCCCGGGCUUAACCUGGGAACUGCGUUUGUGACUGCAAGGCUAGAGUACGGCAGAGGGGGGUGGAAUUCCACGUGUAGCAGUGAAAUGCGUAGAGAUGUGGAGGAACACCAAUGGCGAAGGCAGCCCCCUGGGUCGAUACUGACGCUCAUGCACGAAAGCGUGGGUAGCAAACAGGAUUAGAUACCCUGGUAGUCCACGCCCUAAACUAUGUCAACUAGGUGUUGGGUGGGUAAAACCAUUUAGUACCGUAGCUAACGCGUGAAGUUGACCGCCUGGGGAGUACGGCCGCAAGGUUAAAACUCAAAGGAAUUGACGGGGACCCGCACAAGCGGUGGAUGAUGUGGAUUAAUUCGAUGCAACGCGAAAAACCUUACCUACCCUUGACAUGCCAGGAACUUGCCAGAGAUGGCUUGGUGCCCGAAAGGGAGCCUGGACACAGGUGCUGCAUGGCUGUCGUCAGCUCGUGUCGUGAGAUGUUGGGUUAAGUCCCGCAACGAGCGCAACCCUUGUCGUUAAUUGCCAUCAUUUAGUUGGGCACUUUAACGAGACUGCCGGUGACAAACCGGAGGAAGGUGGGGAUGACGUCAAGUCCUCAUGGCCCUUAUGGGUAGGGCUUCACACGUCAUACAAUGGUCGGUACAAAGGGUUGCCAAGCCGCGAGGCGGAGCCAAUCCCAGAAAGCCGAUCGUAGUCCGGAUUGCAGGCUGCAACUCGCCUGCAUGAAGUCGGAAUCGCUAGUAAUCGUGGAUCAGCAUGUCACGGUGAAUACGUUCCCGGGUCUUGUACACACCGCCCGUCACACCAUGGGAGCGGGUUCCGCCAGAAGUAGGUAGCCUAACCGCAAGGGGGGCGCUUACCACGGCGGGGUUCGUGACUGGGGUGAAGUCGUAACAAGGUAGCCGUAGGGGAACCUGCGGCUG
RNAcentral lists this ribosomal RNA (1287 nucleotides) under metagenome. Its description in RNAcentral is "bacterial SSU rRNA". It matches the Rfam family "Bacterial small subunit ribosomal RNA", at positions 242 to 1520 of the family's 1533-position model. The record is from RNAcentral.